Molecule: ribosomal RNA, 253 nt
Filed under: uncultured bacterium
Lineage: Bacteria
Description: partial 16S ribosomal RNA
Rfam family: Bacterial small subunit ribosomal RNA
Source: RNAcentral
UACAGAGGUCCCGAGCGUUGUUCGGAUUCACUGGGCGUAAAGGGUGCGUAGGUGGUUGUGCAAGUCUGAUGUGAAAUCUCCGGGCUUAACCCGGAAAUGGCAUUGGAAACUGCAUGGCUAGAGGGUUGGAGGGGGGACUGGAAUACUUGGUGUAGCAGUGAAGUGCGUAGAUAUCAAGUGGAACACCAGUGGCGAAGGCGAGUCCCUGGACAACACCUGACACUGAGGCACGAAAGCUAGGGGAGCAAACAGG